UUUUUUUCCCCCCUCCUUCCUCCCUUCCGCCCCCUCCUCCCUUCUAUGAGAAGAAAACUUGGUUGGAUUUAAUAUAUUUCUUUGGGAUCGGAAGGAACUCCUGCCUGCUGGAUCUGGUUUAGACGCCCGAUAGACAAGUUCCAUGUGAAUGGUUUAAUAAACUCCAUUCUGCAUCCUGGUGAUUCUGUGGUCCAGUUCAGAAACUGAUUGAUUCCUAUGGUGUGAAUUGGAAGAGGUGCAGUGAUUCGGAAUGUUGGGUUUGAAAGCUCAGGGAAGAAG
RNAcentral lists this long non-coding RNA (279 nucleotides) under Struthio camelus australis. RNAcentral describes it as "lncRNA (ENSSCUG00000012122.1)". The record is from RNAcentral. Lineage: Eukaryota; Metazoa; Chordata; Aves; Struthioniformes; Struthionidae.